Long non-coding RNA from Ziziphus jujuba (common jujube), 1634 nucleotides. RefSeq lists it as uncharacterized. NCBI's taxonomy places the organism in Eukaryota, Viridiplantae, Streptophyta, Magnoliopsida, Rosales, Rhamnaceae. The transcript has 3 exons. The record is from RefSeq and is a predicted model, not a curated record.
CAAAAACAUGCUUAUUUUGCUGGCGGUUGCAUUGAAAUUGAUGGUCCAGAUUAGAUUGCCAUUUCCCUCCCAUUCCUUUCCUUUCCCACCCAUCUCCGGCUGUGUUCGACGCCCAUUUCCCACCGUGUUCAAGCAAGCAGCCAUCCCAUUUCCUUCCUUUCCCUCCUAUCUCCCAUCUUUCCAGCCAGAAGUAGGGACCGUUCGAUAGCCAGAGCCACCGCCGUUCAGCCCAUAUCGACAUCCAAAACCCACGACCAGAAAGAGCCACCGUUCAAGCCAAUGUUCGUCCGAAACCCACUGCCCAGGCUACCGCUCAGAGAGACCAUCUUUCUCUUUUUGAUCUUUUUCCUCAACGAACAGCAGCGAUUAUGUUAAGGCUAGGGUUUUUAAAUACAUUAUUCAAAUUUUUCAUUCAAUUUUUUAUUUUUUAUUAUUUUUUGGGUUUUGAUCGAUCUUAUUCUUUUUCUAUAUAUUGAUUUAUUUAUUUUUGAGAUUCUCUAUCAUGAAUAUAGGUUUUUGAAUUUGUAUGUAAGAUGCACCAUCAGAGACACCAUCGACAAGGUUCUCGUCCUCUGAUUGUUUGUCUCCUUCUCGACGAUGUCGUAUGCCCCCCCCCCCCCCCCCCUUCUUUUUCUUUGGGUUUCCUUUUUGCUAUUUUGCUUGAUUCUGUGUAAUUUGUGAAUUUUUGGUACUAUACUGCUAUCUGAACCAGCACCCCAGCUUUCUAAGUUCGCAACCAUCGUACUUGUUGACAUGGAUUCGGAGGACGUUCAACCAGGAACCUAGAAUUCUGCUACUCUCUCUGUAUGUUUAUUCCAAUUUAUAUACAGUAUCAGAGGAAACAGUGCUGAAUACCAGAGGGAGAUUUCUUUUGGAGAGGAUGUUGUGAUUGUGGCGUAGGUUAUUGAUUUCGUAAUUUCAGAUAAUUUAAUAGCAACUCUCUUUUCUUUUCAUUUUUUUUUUUUUAAUGGAAGCUUUUGUCUUUCAUUAUCUCCCAUAAUUCGCUACAAAAAUCAUGGCAAAGAUAGUGCAUACCGCACUGCCAUUUCCAAAUCGAAUUAGGGUGGUUUCAAGGACACACUUCCUGAUGAUUUGCUUGCUGCUAUUUCGAAGGCAGUGAUAGAGAAAAACAAAUUUGAAUACAGGUGAAGUAGGAGACGUAGUUAUUGGCACAGUUUCAGCACCUGGUUUGCAGAGAGCAACUGAAUGUAGGAAGGCGGCAUUUUAUGUUGGAUUCCCCGUGCAGGAAUUGGAACAGUAUUGGAGUCCAUGACAAUAAAUAAAAUGAAUAGGGUUACUAAAGUUAACCCAAAAGUAUAUUUCAAAGGCUACAUUUUUGUUCUUCAUUUCUUUUUCUUCUUCGAAAAAUGAUUGAAGUUGAAUAACUUGUUUGGUGUAUGAUACGGUGUCAAGAGGUGGAGAUCUUUACACAUGCCCGUGAUUUUCUUCUUCCUGAUGGUAUUACAUCUGAAAAUGUCGUACAACGUUAUAGUGUGACACGUGAAGAGUAGGAUAUGACUACUAUAAGGUCUAUAGAUUUAAAUUGUAUCUUUAUAAUUAAUUAUAUCUCAAUUAAUUAAAUUAACAGAAUGUCAAAAUGCAAUCUCCAAAAGAAAUUGCGUUUUAAUGUGAAC